AUGUGUGUAUGUCUGUAUGUAUGUGCAUUUUUGUGUGUUUUGUGCGUAUUUAUGUGUAUGUGUGCAUUUAUACGCACGUAUAUAAAUGCGUAUUGCGAAGGUUGAACAAGCAUCAGGGGCUGCUGCCCAGCCCAAACACGAAGACCGCCUAACGCCGACGGGAGAGGGGCGCGAGGGGCCUAGAGCCGCCGGUCCGCACGAGUGAACAAAACUGAGUGAGUACACGAAAUAUUUCUUGUGCGCAUUUGCGUGCAUGUGGGACUGUAUGUGGGUUGAGGAGGGGCGAAUAGACGCAUGGGGGAAUUUGGCUGUGGCGACAAAAAAUGCACCCUUUGUUCGUCAACGCAGCCUCACCGCCUUCCUCAGCUUGUGCAUUCCUAACAACUGGAUCACUAAUUUUUACCUACACUGCCAUGGUACGGCAUUGCACGGCAGUGUACGGCACAUCCUUUCACGCUUACCGUCAUAGGUCUUCAGGCCGCUGUUCCAUAUGAAAUCACAGUCCAGGUCGGUCGGCCAGGACUCAUCCGGAUCGUAGCGGGCAAUGCUCGUAGUCACCCAGCGAAUCUUGCCGGGGAAAUUGCAAGAUAGCCGGAACGGUGUUGCCUACAGAUACCCGGAUAUCCGUAUCGUCCAAAAACGAAUGAUACAAAACAGAGGAUCCAGGGAGGGUACGGCAUUGGUCAGGAGGAAUUAGAGCGACAGAAAGGUAGAGAUAUGUGGCACUUUUCACCCCAAGGACGCACAAACUAACAUUAAGCUGCCCUGGAGUAUUAGUUUGUAUUGCGCUUAGAAAAAGACAAGGUGCAAUCUAGUCGAGAAGAAGAAUCAAGUCCGGCAACCAUUUCUACUUCCGAACAACUCCGAAAAUGUGCUUCGAAUUGUGCAAAUUUAUCGCUCAACUCAAAAAGCUCACCUUCUUCUCGAGGCCCUCGAUAGUUAAAUCUGAGCCAAGUGCAAUUACGGGCCGGGAGUAGACAACCUACAGUUGAAAACACCCGACAGCAAAGAGAUGGCACCUGUAUAAAGCCCUUGCACAUGGAAUGAUAAAGUAACAGAAGUGCGGUUUCCAAGUUGACCCUUACUCGCACUUCUCAACUUUGCAGAGGUCAUGAAACAAGCUAUUAUGGUCCAAAAAGUGAGAAACGUUUCAAGCUUUAUCAUCAACACUAAACAGUUGAUCUGCGUUUCGCGAUCGGCCUUGACCCGUGUCGUCUUCCCUCACCGUAAUUUGCUGCUUGCCCCACAUGUAAGCCUUCCGGGACGUCAUCAAUUCCGCUGGUGAGGAAACUGUAAUAUUUAACGGCAAC
This 1310-nucleotide long non-coding RNA is filed under the name Volvox carteri. Its description in RNAcentral is "long non-coding RNA (VCAR_LNC003502)". The record is from RNAcentral. Lineage: Eukaryota; Viridiplantae; Chlorophyta; Chlorophyceae; Chlamydomonadales; Volvocaceae.